GUUGUUACAAAGGUUUGGAAGAGAGGGAGUGAAGAGAGUGCUGGAAGCGGCGCAAUGGAAGGAAGGAAGAAACAUGUGGACACUGAAACGCAACCUGAGAGAAACAAACAAAGGGGUUUUCAUUCGACAUUCCAUGAUGUUUCAUAUUUAGUUUUCAAUCUGAAUCUUCUUCCCGACUUUCCUUGUUGCUCGUCUUCUCUCACCCCCUCUCUCCACGCGCCACUGCUUCUACCCUUCGGCCUCGUGAUGAUAAUCUGAAGUAGCUUGGUUUUUCUUAAAGCUUGAUUUGCUUGCCAUCUGUGGAUUUGUGCGAGUGUUGCAUUGCACUGCAUUGUGCUUUUUAAUUGCAUAAUUUCUACAUGAGGAAGCUGGGUGGAGAAGCCAAAAAUUGAGACCAACAUGUGAGUAAAUCAUCGAAUUUGUUUAUGAAAAAUCUAGUGUUUAUGAAUGAUGAAAAUCAUGUCUCAGGAUCCAAAUAUGCAGUUUCUGGUCAAAUAAAUACUCAUUGUAAUUUUGUAAUUUGCUUUUCCUUGUAUGGUUUAGCUGUGUUGGAUACAUAGGCAAAUGGGGGAAGGUGGGGAAAAUAACCUAGACUCUAUGUGUUUGUGAAUAUGCCGAUGUAUAUUUUACCAACUUGGAGCCAACAUUCACUUGAUGGUUUCAACCUUAUUCUAUGUGAUGCUGAAGUAUUUUGCAGAGAAGUAGUCUCAGAGGGUGGAAUUACUAGAAAAAAAAAGAGUUAAAGAGAGGUGUUUUUUUGAAACGUUAGUCACAAGUUGAAGGACAAAACUUUGAUCCACCAUUGCAGUUUGUUUGCCACCACAUCUGGUGUCAUUGUUGGUCUUGAAAGGAAGAAAGCUGGAAAAAUGAUUGUACAUUAGUAGUAUUUGUGAGUCUUGUUGAUAUUAGCCACCUUGGUGAACAUGGGGAAAAGAAUAGGAUUAUGCAAGUGGGAAAUUUGGUCAUCUUGGGAAAGAGCUAUCAACUAUUAUCUGUGAAAGUUUUUAAAGAGAAGACUUCUGAACAUUUUGUAUCAGAGUAUCAUAUGCCAGAUAAAACAAAAUUGUUAGUC
Long non-coding RNA from Vigna unguiculata (cowpea), 1072 nucleotides. NCBI's taxonomy places the organism in Eukaryota, Viridiplantae, Streptophyta, Magnoliopsida, Fabales, Fabaceae. The record is from RefSeq and is a predicted model, not a curated record.